Molecule: non-coding RNA, 806 nt
Organism: Ictidomys tridecemlineatus (thirteen-lined ground squirrel)
Lineage: Eukaryota; Metazoa; Chordata; Mammalia; Rodentia; Sciuridae
Source: RefSeq, a predicted model, not a curated record
GCUGCUGCUGUUUGCCAGCCUCGCCAGCGGUCCUGGGCUUCCUGGAGGAGCACACCCACCCCGCCACCACCCACACCUCCAUCUACAGGUGCCUCCACCUCCUGAUGGGACCAGAGCCACAGGGGCACCACUGGAGAAAACCUGUAUCCAGCCUCACCUGAUUCUCAGAAAAAGAGACUGAAGCCAGAAGGAAAGUCGUUUUCUCAAGGUCACUCAAAGUUAAUCACUGGAGGAACUUGGGCAACCCGCCAUCCCUGAGCUCCUACUGUGUGCUGGGCACUGUGCUAAGCACUGGCACCCAUUAAGGCAACACAUAGGUGGAACACAAUGAGGCAGGCUGAACCAGAAGCCAAGCGCGUUUGGCUGCCAUUCCGGGCUCUUACCUCUUCCACACACACCUACGUCUAAAGCCCUGGUCGUGCUGGUAGUGCCCAAGAGCAGGGCCCAGCCAGCCCUGGGCCUCGCACUCCUAGAGGUGGAGCUCCCAGCCCAGUGCUCCUAGACCAUGGGAUGGCCCUAGCUUCCGUUCUCGGGAAACAACAUCGAGUCCUCUGGAGCCAGCCUCCUCUGCACCUGCACUUCUGCCAUCAGUACUUCCUCCUCUGACGAGUCUCCUCCUCUUACUGACCACUGCAGACCCCAGGAACAAGGAGACCUCACACCUGGUGACUGUCACCACAGACGCUUCUCAUGGCAUGAUGGGAUAGAUUCAAACCCACAGACGCCACAGCCUUGGCCUUCUCACUCUGAGCAUCCUCAGCAGUGCAAGAGGGCGAAGGGGGCACAGGGAACGGCUUACCGGACUU